This 381-nucleotide ribosomal RNA is filed under the name uncultured bacterium. RNAcentral describes it as "bacterial SSU rRNA". It matches the Rfam family "Bacterial small subunit ribosomal RNA", at positions 28 to 412 of the family's 1533-position model. The record is from RNAcentral.
GACGAACGCUGGCGGCGUGCUUAACACAUGCAAGUCGAACGGAAAGGCCCUGCUUGCAGGGUACUCGAGUGGCGAACGGUGAGUAACACGUGGGUGAUCUGCCCUGCACUUCGGGAUAAGCCUGGGAAACUGGGUCUAAUACCGGAUAGGAGCCAUUUUUAGUGUGAUGGUUGGAAAGUUUUUUCGGUGUAGGAUGAGCUCGCGGCCUAUCAGCUUGUUGGUGGGGUAAUGGCCUACCAAGGCGGCGACGGGUAGCCGGCCUGAGAGGGUGGACGGCCACAUUGGGACUGAGAUACGGCCCAGACUCCUACGGGAGGCAGCAGUGGGGAAUAUUGCACAAUGGGCGCAAGCCUGAUGCAGCGACGCCGCGUGGGGGAUGAC